This 496-nucleotide ribosomal RNA is filed under the name uncultured bacterium. RNAcentral's name for it is "partial 16S ribosomal RNA". It matches the Rfam family "Bacterial small subunit ribosomal RNA", at positions 29 to 507 of the family's 1533-position model. The record is from RNAcentral.
AUGAACGCUGGCGGCGUGCCUAAUACAUGCCAGUCGAGCGAACAGACGAGGAGCUUGCUCCUCUGACGUUAACGGCGGACGGGUGAGUAACACGUGGAUAACCUACCUAUAAGACUGGGAUAACUUCGGGAAACCGGAGCUAAUACCGGAUAAUAUAUUGAACCGCAUGGUUCAAUAGUGAAAGACGGUUUUGCUGUCACUUAUAGAUGGAUCCGCGCCGCAUUAGCUAGUUGGUAAGGUAACGGCUUACCAAGGCAACGAUGCGUAGCCGACCUGAGAGGGUGAUCGGCCACACUGGAACUGAGACACGGUCCAGACUCCUACGGGAGGCAGCAGUAGGGAAUCUUCCGCAAUGGGCGAAAGCCUGACGGAGCAACGCCGCGUGAGUGAUGAAGGUCUUCGGAUCGUAAAACUCUGUUAUUAGGGAAGAACAAAUGUGUAAGUAACUAUGCACGUCUUGACGGUACCUAAUCAGAAAGCCACGGCUAACUACGUG